Molecule: long non-coding RNA, 712 nt
Filed under: Medicago truncatula (barrel medic)
Lineage: Eukaryota; Viridiplantae; Streptophyta; Magnoliopsida; Fabales; Fabaceae
Description: long non-coding RNA (MTRU_LNC000342)
Source: RNAcentral
ACAGGUUCAGAUAGCAAAAAUAGGGGUGCAGACAGCAAGAAAAAAGCAAGAAAUGUGCAGAAAAAUAAGCCCAAACCCAAAGCCCAAAGCCAAAACGCAGGGAAGUACAGAGACCACACGAUUGAUCCAGGGUCCUGAAACCCUAGAUCAAACGGCCAGGAACAAAGGGGAUUGGACCGGUCCUGGACCGGUCCGGUUCACUGGCUAUAUAAACACAAGGGGACCGGUUUUUUCAUUCUCUUCCUCUCCUUCUCUCUCUUCUCUCAUCCUAGUGAGAGAAGCUCCCACUUCUCUCUUCCCUCUCUCGCCGGAAACCUCAAGGAGGAAGAUGAGUCUUCAUCUUCUCCGGUGAAGCUUGUUCUUCCGGCGCGGUGGCCGGCCACCCCAGGGUGGCGGCGCCGCCGCCGGAGUUGAACAAACUCCUCCGUUUUCAAAAAUUUUCACAUUUUUAGAUAUCCUUUUUGGUCACAAACACGAAUCCGGCACUGGUUUUCUCACACGAGGUCCAAAUCUCUGUAGAUCUACACUUUUGUUCGCGGUUUUGAAAAGAUUUUUCUUGAUUCUUUUUAGUGUUUUAUUGAAUGAAAGUUGCAAAUCUGUGUUUGAUUCGUGUUUGUUACCGUUUCUGAGAAAGAAAGAUGAGUUUCACGUGUUUACCUGUGAUUUUUGACUGGAGAUUUUGAACAAGAUCUUCGGAAAACUUGGUUGUUGG